GAUGAAGAACGCAGCGAAAUGCGAUAAGUAAUGUGAAUUGCAGAAUUCAGUGAAUCAUCUAAUCUUUGAACGCACAUUGCGCCCGCCAGUAUUCUGGCGGGCAUGCCUGUUCGAGCGUCAUUUCAACCAUCAAGCCCCCGGGCUUGUGUUGGGGACCUGCGGCUGCCGCAGGCCCUGAAAAGCAGUGGCGGGCUCGCUGUCACACCGAGCGUAGUAGAUUUUAUCUCGCUCUGGGCGUGCUGCGGGUUCCGGCCGUUAAACCACCCUUUUAACCCAAGGUUGACCUCGGAUCAGGUAGGAAGACCCGCUGAACUUAAGCAUAUCAAUAAGCGGAGGA
This 337-nucleotide unclassified non-coding RNA is filed under the name soil metagenome. RNAcentral describes it as "partial contains 5.8S ribosomal RNA, internal transcribed spacer 2, and large subunit ribosomal RNA". The stretch from base 1 to 120 matches the Rfam family "5.8S ribosomal RNA", at positions 35 to 154 of the family's 154-position model. The record is from RNAcentral.